CGGAAUUUCAGUUGGUAUCGA
RNAcentral lists this microRNA (21 nucleotides) under Drosophila melanogaster (fruit fly). RNAcentral's name for it is "dme-miR-283-3p". Its record names the gene dme-miR-283-3p. Lineage: Eukaryota; Metazoa; Arthropoda; Insecta; Diptera; Drosophilidae. RNAcentral also lists the same sequence under 1 other name. The record is from miRBase by way of RNAcentral.